GUUGUUGCAGACAAUAUAACAAUGGCCAAGGGAGAGGACUCUCACACGGAAAUUGCCCGCGUUCGCCAGAAGGACGGCAUCAACGUGAUCUUUGACCGCAGCAGCGCUGACGCUUCGCGCUCCCGUUCACGAUCCAAAAGCAGCAGACGCUCCAGCGGCUCCGGUCGCCACAGGGGGCGCAGCAACCGCCGGCAUCGCCGGUGUUCGUCGUCUUCAUCCAGCAGCAGGCACUCUCGUCACCGACGCAACAGGUCCCGCUCCAGCAGGUCCGGCCGGGCAGUUAGCCGGUUCUCCCAGUCCCCGCCCAGAAACCACAGGAGCAGCUCUGGAUCCGAAUAUUCCGAAAAUUCCGUUGACCUGAGUAUUGAUGAUAAAGGAAACCCCAUCAUGUCUGCCAAUGCUUCCAUAAUCCAAGAGGACGAGAAACUCUACAGUCCUGAGAUCGUGGAAUCAAUCCAGUCGGCUCAGGCAGUGGAGUCCAAUCAAGUGUUGCGAGAGACAUGGGUGAGACAAGACCUGGAAAAGACUCCGUCACAGAAGUUUCCCCCCCCAUCUAAGACUACAUGUAAAUACAAGAUAACAUGACAGUGGUCUCCUUCACUCAUCGGCACCUGGGAUUAAAGGGCUGUCAUGUGACUUAGGUGACAACAAUACGUGUUUGCGUGAAAGUUUACCUGAUAACCCCUUGCAAUGUUCAGAAAGUCUUAAGUUAACCCAACACAUAUGCUGAUUAUUAGACAUAGUGCU
Molecule: long non-coding RNA, 747 nt
Organism: Gasterosteus aculeatus (three-spined stickleback)
Lineage: Eukaryota; Metazoa; Chordata; Actinopteri; Perciformes; Gasterosteidae
Source: Ensembl